Molecule: long non-coding RNA, 3619 nt
Organism: Corvus hawaiiensis (hawaiian crow)
Lineage: Eukaryota; Metazoa; Chordata; Aves; Passeriformes; Corvidae
Exons: 2
Source: RefSeq, a predicted model, not a curated record
CUCAGCCACAGCCCCGCGACGUGUUUACAUCGCUCGAGAGCGCGCUGGGAGAGCCCUCGAUAUCAAUUUAUUCCUAAUAAAACAUGAGAGCCCUCCUUGAGAAUGAGAAACUACAGAAAAUGAGGAUGGAGAAAAACAGGCAACAUGAGGUAAAAAAAGGAAUGUGGGUUGAGACAUGUAAAAACAGGGAGCCAAAGGGAGCUCUAAGCAGAGUAUGGUUUGGGUCUUGCCCACAUACUCCCAUCCCAGAAAAGGGAGCUGAUGAAUGCUGGCCAGAGAUGCUCUGCCUGAGGAGGUCAAAGAAAAUACCACACGUCAGGACAUCCUGAAAAGCUGCUUCUACCUGCUUGCAGCUUGGUCAGAACAGUAGAGUCUCUGAUGAAGAGAUCCUGCAUCAUGUGGAGCCUUAGAGGGGAAAUGUAUAAAUGUAAAAGUGAACUAAGAGCAUCUUAAAAGGAUGUUUUGGAGAAGCUGAAGUAGAGGUUGUCAUUAAUCCCGCUUGGGCCAUGGCAUACAUGUGUUCCACCUUAUCCCAGAGGGAACUAACUCUCAGAAUCCCUGGCAGAGCAUUAUGGAUGUGCUCAUGUCUUUAAUGUAUUUUUCCUGGCUGGGCUCUGGAUUUAGCCCAAAGUACAAGCUGAUCCACCUGCCAUUGUGCUUCUCCUGAUCGUAGGAGAUCCCAUCCUCUGCUGUCUAGGCAGGGCAAAUGGUGAAAAAGUGAAGUAUGAGGGCAUAAUGGAAUUUUCCAAGAUGAGGUGUGAAGAUGAACAGGAUGCCAUGAAGCCUACUGAAAUAUUGCAUGGGGAAGACAUGUAUUUCACGUGACAACAAUCUUCUACUGGUGUUACUUUUGCCUCAGUCUUAUAGUUGAGUUCAGCUCUUGCUACAGAGGUGGCAGAGAGGAUACUGACUACCUUCAUGCCAGACGCCCAAAGCUGCAUUCCGUGGUUUUGUUCUGCCACAGGUGCCAGGUGUACUUGGCACAUUGUAUAGUUUCAGCCAGUUCUUGUGGGGGUUUUGGGAUUCUUGUUUUGGUCUGGUUUUUUUAUGGAUAGUGUCUCUUUAGAGGCUUGCUACUUUCAGGAGCUAAAAGGGUAUUAUGAAAUUCUUCAUUUCAGAAGAGUUGGGAUUUUGUGGUGGUGGUGGGUUUUGUGUUUUCUGUUUUUAAGCAGAUACUUGGAGCUAUGCCAUUUAUUAAAGAAAAAUGUUUGCUAAGUAAUUGACUGGAGAAAUAUAGAAUAUAAUUUGGCCAAAUAACUGUUGUGCUUUUCAACUAUAAGACAGUGUUGUAUGAUGAUUUGGUUGAAUUUUCAAACCAGUUAUAGGCCCCAUUACUCAUUGCUGUUUCUUAAGAGUGGUUUUCUCAGGACCUCUUUUAGAAGCAAUUUUAUAGUGUCUAUUGGGCAAGAGUUUUCAGAGUAGAACCUGAUUUUUGCUGGUAUGAUAUUUUUGAAAAAACUCAAAACAUGGUUGUACUGUCUCCAGCUUGAGUUUUGAGGCUAUAAUUACGAAACGUUCUUCAACUUGCUGCUUAUGGAGUACUUACGUGACCAAUUUUCUUUGCAGUAAAGCUGACUUGAAAAAUGCCUGCCCUUACCACCCCUGCUGCUCUGCUCAUAGCUACAAUUCACUGCCCUUCCUGUGCUGAUACAGCUGUUCAAGGACUGCUCUGAUGUCUCACCACAAUGGUUAAGACCCUUGCUCCCACCGGGCUCUGCUGUUUUAACCCUUUAUUUCAUGGACCUAUCUUAAAACAGUGCCCCACCUUUUGUUGGGCUGAUACAAAGGAGGGCUGCAAAACAAGGGUGAAAUGGUAUUGCAAGUGGCUUUUGCACUGAAGAAACACACAUUUCACUGAAGGGAAGAAGAAAAUGCUACUGUUGCAUGGUGUUGAUCUCACCUUUUGGAUACGUUAACAUGAGAUGGUUUUUAGUUUGAGGGGCUCUUUGGAGCCUUAUCUUCAUCCAGAGAUGCUACUGACUGACUUUGUAAUGAUAUGCAUCACUAUGCCAUUCUCAAGUACUAUCAGCAAGAGUUGUCCCAUUUUUUGCUUACAACUGAGACUAAAAUAGUGUUUGUAUCAUUGUAGUUCUGUUAAAUGUGAUUAUCCUCAUGGUUGUCAGACCACAAUUUAUUUUGACAAAGUUAUCAAAAAGAUCACCAGCCUUCCUCUUCAUAUCUUUAAUUGCUCCAGAAUGUUCUCAAGUAUUUCUUAGGACAAAUAAAACUGGAAGAUGACUAAUACAUACAUACUCCUUUUAGAUACAGCGUGUGAGUAGGGAGUAACAGGAGGGAGAAGAGACAUGCAGAGCUGUGCAUCAGCACAAUGAGAGAUGCAAAAGAAUCCAAUACCAGAGUUAGCUUAAAUGGUAUGAUAAAGCUAGAGAUGUAAGCAUUGCAAAUUUAGUAUGAUCUUUCGCAAGAAAAGUUCAGGCAUCUCUUGCAUUUAUCUUUUCUGCAGUUGAACUGAAUUUUCCGCUUAAUGAUAAAGAUUUUCUGCAGGAUGUAUUUUUCAUUUAAAAUAAAAAUAAAGUUCAUAGCCUUACUGUCCCUUCUUUCAAAAAUAACUUGUGAUAGUUCUGCCUUUCUUUGUGUGAAAAUAAUUCCAAACAGAAAAUAGUAGUUGGCUGGUUUUCCACAGUUCUAUUCACAACACUAUAAUUUUCUCCACCAACUAAAUUGACUCAUUCAUUUCCACUAAUACAUACAAACUUACUUGUUCUGCUGGCAGUCCUGCUGUUAAGAGAACUAGCCCAAGACACAGUGGCUGAGAAAACAGAGCAGUAGGUGUUCAGUAUGGAAAGCAUGAAAGUGCAAUCCUUUCGCAUGGAGCCCCUUUGGACUUGGACACAAAUUUUUCACCAGGAGAGCUACCAGCCACUGGAAUAAUCUCCCCAGGGAGGUGGUGGACUCCCCAACAGUAGGACACUUAAAGUUCAGCUGGACAGGGUGCUGGGCCAUCUUGUCUAAGGUGUGCUUUUGUCAAGAAAGGUUGGACCAGGUGAGCUUGAGGUCACUUCCAACCUGGUAUUGUAUGAUUCUCUGACGUGUUACAGAGAAGCUGAGUAGCAGAGCAAGUCUCUUGAGCUUGAGAUUGUUUGUUUGAUACUUGUGCAGCACUAGAGAGGGGUUUAGAGAAAGUGACUGCGAGCUGGGAAGGAGACAAUAGAUAGGUAGAGUUUUAAGAAUUAAAACCAGGGUGAGAUUUUUGAUUCUUCUCAUGGUGUGAACACAGUCAGAUAGUCUUAAGAAGGCAAGAGUUAUAUGAAAAACAGUUUUGAUUUUUUGUUGAAUGUAUGUUUAAUAAUGAAAAGGAGACAUUUAGUGAAUUUGGGGAAAAUGUAUGCUUCAGUUGCAAAAGAUGGAAUAUAUUCAGUGUAUGGGUGUAAGCCACAAUAUUGGCAAUUUUCUGAGUCAAAAUAAUAGUAAAUACUGAAGAAGGAAGAUGCAAGGAAAUUAAGAAAUAGUAUUAUUAGUCCCUAUUAAGUAUUUCCUAAUAAUACAGGUAUCAACAAUAGCAUUGUAGCAUGGAGGGUAUUUCUUUCCCCUUCCAAAAUAUGGAAGUACACUAGUGUUAUGUGUUUAAAAAAAAAAAUAAAGAAAGAAUUGUUGACAUGUC